GUAGAAGCGCAGAUUUCAGUUUAAUUCAGAAUGGGGUUGUAAUUCAGAUCUGACGCCACCCAUCUCAGUUUCAAGGUUUAAGUACCAACAUGCCUAUGGACAUUGGUUUUAGAAGAAUGUGAUAUCAAUCAGGUCUGCAAAUGCUUGCAUUCAAUUGCAAAUACCACCUUGGCAAGAAAUGUGACAAAGAGAGCAGCAAUAGAAACGCAUCCACAGCUGAUCCCGAUAUCGAUGUCCGAAUGGAAAAUGACAUUUCCCCCCAUGGAAAACUGUAGGCCACUCUCUCAUAUGAAUUUAGAAAGUCUUUAAACAAGUAUUAACAAAUUAAAAUGCAACAAUGUUCAAAAACAGAUACUAUACACAGACAAAUGGACUCUGAUAGUAUUCUAUGUGACUUAACUUGUAAAAAAUAAUGAAAUUCUUCAUGUAUGUAAUAAAACCUACAAAGAAAUAG
Echinops telfairi (small Madagascar hedgehog) is the source of this 454-nucleotide long non-coding RNA. RefSeq lists it as uncharacterized. The record is from RefSeq and is a predicted model, not a curated record. NCBI's taxonomy places the organism in Eukaryota, Metazoa, Chordata, Mammalia, Afrosoricida, Tenrecidae. The transcript is spliced from 2 exons.